AAUAAAGGAGCUACAUAUAGGGUUUUGUGAGCAAACACAAAUAAGUUAGAUCUAUACAC
This 59-nucleotide transfer RNA is filed under the name Gloeochaete wittrockiana. Lineage: Eukaryota; Glaucocystophyceae; Gloeochaetales; Gloeochaetaceae. The record is from RNAcentral.